CCUACGGUAGGCAGCAGUGAGGAAUAUUGGUCAAUGGCCGUAAGGCUGAACCAGCCAAGUCGCGUGAAGGAAGAAGGAUCUAUGGUUUGUAAACUUCUUUUAUAGGGGAAUAAAGGUAUCCACGUGUGGAUAUUUGCAUGUACCCUAUGAAUAAGCAUCGGCUAACUCCGUGCCAGCAGCCGCGGUAAUACGGAGGAUGCGAGCGUUAUCCGGAUUUAUUGGGUUUAAAGGGUGCGUAGGUUGUUUUUUAAGUCAGCGGUUAAAGUUUGUGGCUCAACCAUAAAAUUGCCGUUGAAACUGGAAGACUUGAGUGUGUUUGAGGUAGGCGGAAUGCGUGGUGUAGCGGUGAAAUGCAUAGAUAUCACGCAGAACUCCGAUUGCGAAGGCAGCUUACUAAGCCAUAACUGACACUGAAGCACGAAAGCGUGGGGAUCAAACAGGAUUAGAUACCCUGGUAGUC
This 460-nucleotide ribosomal RNA is filed under the name uncultured bacterium. RNAcentral describes it as "partial 16S ribosomal RNA". It matches the Rfam family "Bacterial small subunit ribosomal RNA", at positions 338 to 795 of the family's 1533-position model. The record is from RNAcentral.